CUCACAUACAUCAGAACCAUCCAUACCAACAGAGGUCGAAGAAGAACCAGCACUGGAAGAGCCAUUGACUGCCACUGAUACAGAAUCGGAGAUAGAGGAUGAUAUUUCUGGGAAAAGAGUCUAUAUCAAAGAUGACAAUUUGAGGACACAAGCAAAGUUUGUUGUCUUUCUUCCACAACUCAUGGAAUUAUUUGGCACUUGUCCAACCUGUAGCAUGCCAGGUGUCCUCAUUGAUGUUAAAAAGUUUGGAACAAUGGUACAAAUCGAGAGAACAUGCAGUCAAAAAAAGUGCACAAAACGCAACAAUGUGUGGAGCAGUCAACCAAAAUUUCCUAACUCCAGUAUUCCAGCGGGGAAUUUACUUCUGUCAUUUGCCAUUUUAACUGGCGGUGGAUCUGCAAGCAAAACGCUAAGAAUAUUUGAACAUAUGGGGUUAGGAAGCAUAUCUCUGUCCACAUUCUACCGCCAUCAACGUACCAAGCUGUUUCCCACCAUUCAUAUGCAUUGGAAAUCAUACAAAGCAUCAUGGCAAGCAAAGUUGAAAGAAAUAGAUGGCAUUGUUUUAGCUGGGGAUGGUCGUCAUGACAGUAUGGGACAUAGCGCAAAAUACUGUGCAUAUAGUUUGUUCUGUUGUGAUGAUCCAAUAAAUGCAAUA
Dendronephthya gigantea is the source of this 655-nucleotide long non-coding RNA. RefSeq lists it as uncharacterized. The record is from RefSeq and is a predicted model, not a curated record. The transcript has 3 exons. NCBI's taxonomy places the organism in Eukaryota, Metazoa, Cnidaria, Anthozoa, Malacalcyonacea, Nephtheidae.